Molecule: long non-coding RNA, 534 nt
Filed under: Carica papaya (papaya)
Lineage: Eukaryota; Viridiplantae; Streptophyta; Magnoliopsida; Brassicales; Caricaceae
Description: long non-coding RNA (CPAP_LNC004347)
Source: RNAcentral
ACCUUAAUUAAUUAUACAUAUAUAUUAAUUUAUAAAUACCGUUUUAUCAUUUAUUAAACUUUAAUACCGUAAUAGGAAAUAGGGUGAGUGAUCCUUACUUGUUUCGAAAUCUGAAAUCGGGUUCUCACUACGCCUACGGGCAGUCUCUAGAUUCCCUAAAUUUUUCUCCAAAAAUUGAAACACAAUUUCGGUACCUGCACAUGUCCCUAAAAAACUCCAAAUCAGACCCAGGGCCCUUUUGGCCAAUUUCAAAAUUUUGGCCGCUGUGCUCCGGCGACGACGCCACCGCCCACGGUGGCAAUCCACCUUGGGUUGGCCGUUUUGGGCUAAAUUCGGCCAAAUUUGCAUUGGUUCCUGUGAUAAAACACCCCCAGGGCCCUCGGUGGGCCAAAAAAUUCCAAAAAACUGAGACUUACCGGCGGCGAAGCUCUCGGGUACGAUGGCUCCUCCGACGCGAGUUACGAUUUGGUGUUUUGCUCUAGUCAACCUGUAGAGAAAAGGACGGUGGUCACAGUGGUAUAAACACUACAUCGA